AUGCGGAGCCGCCAAGGGGUGGCGCAUCCACGCCGUCGCCGGGAAAGGAGGUGGGCGCUCUCUUCUCCACUUGCUCUCUUCCGCUCCGCCGGGGUGUCGAUUCUCUCCGCGCUCUUGGGGCCUUCUCCUUGUUCCGUCCAAAGUCCAGGGGAUGCCUUGUUAGUGAAAGCUCCCAUGGAUGCUGUGGAGAACGCUGUCGCCCCCGCCGCCCCGUCAACGGUGGCAAAUGGCACUUCUUCAGCAAUCACCGUCGAGGAAUUUGAAGAUUUAGCCUCUCUAGUGAAGGAUGAUGAGGCGUCGGUUAGCAUCACCGUAGUUGGAGCGUCUGGUGACCUUGCGAAGAAGAAGAUAUUUCCUGCCCUUUUCGCUCUUUACUAUGAAGGUUGUCUUCCCAAGCAUUUCUCCAUCUUUGGCUAUGCGCGGAGUAAAAUGACAGAUGCUGAACUGAGAGACAUGGUCAGCAAAACACUGACUUGCAGGAUUGAUAAAAGGGAGAACUGUAGUGAGAAAAUGGAAGAGUUUCUGAAACGAUGCUUCUACCACUCAGGUCAAUAUGACUCAGAGGAAGAUUUCAGGGAGCUAGGCAAGAAGAUCAAACAACAUGAGGGUCCCAGAGUAUCUAACCAUCUUUUCUACUUGUCGAUACCUCCAAAUAUAUUCCUGGAUGUUGUAAAAUGUGCAAGCAAAUCAGCAUCAUCUGUGAGUGGCUGGACAAGGGUAAUUGUUGAAAAACCCUUUGGCCGGGACUCAGAGUCUUCUGCUGCCCUAACGAAAGGUCUGAAGCAGUACCUGACAGAGGACCAAAUCUUCAGGAUUGACCAUUACUUGGGAAAGGAACUGGUGGAGAACUUGUCUGUCCUUCGCUUCUCGAAUCUUGUUUUUGAGCCUCUGUGGUCAAGGCAAUAUAUUAGGAAUGUGCAACUGAUAUUCUCGGAAGACUUUGGCACUGAAGGGCGAGGAGGGUACUUUGAUAGCUAUGGUAUUAUCCGAGACAUAAUGCAGAAUCAUCUUCUUCAGAUACUAGCUCUAUUUGCAAUGGAAACUCCUAUUAGCUUGGAAGCAGAGGACAUACGAAAUGAGAAGGUUAAAGUUUUGCGCUCCAUGAAGCCAUUGCGACUAGAAGAUGUGGUAAUAGGACAGUAUAAAAGUCAUACAAAGGGUGGUAUUACAUACCCUGGAUACACUGAAGAUAAGACGGUGCCCAAGGGUAGUCUGACUCCAACAUUUGCUGCAGCUGCGCUUUUUAUAAAUAACGCUAGAUGGGAUGGAGUUCCCUUUCUCAUGAAGGCUGGAAAAGCUUUGCAUACUAAACAGGCUGAGAUUAGAGUACAGUUUCGACAUGUUCCUGGAAAUCUCUACAAGGGGUCUUUUGGAACCGAUCUUGACAGGGCUACUAAUGAACUUGUGAUACGCGUGCAACCAGAUGAAGGAAUUUACCUAAAGAUUAACAACAAGAUUCCUGGUCUUGGUAUGAGACUAGAUAGGAGUAAUCUGAAUCUUCACUAUGCAGCAAGGUACCCCAAGGAGAUACCAGAUGCGUACGAGAGGCUCCUGCUCGACGCGAUAGAAGGAGAGCGAAGGCUCUUCAUCCGGUCGGACGAGCUGGACGCGGCGUGGGAGCUCUUCACGCCCCUCCUGAAGGAGCUGGAGCAGAAGCGGAUGGCCCCCGAGCUAUACCCCUACGGGAGCCGCGGGCCCGUGGGCGCCCACUACCUGGCAGCCAAGUACAAGGUGAGAUGGGGCGACCUGGGUGGCUCGGAACACUAG
This 1767-nucleotide ribosomal RNA is filed under the name Triticum aestivum (bread wheat). Its description in RNAcentral is "partial small subunit ribosomal RNA". The record is from RNAcentral. Lineage: Eukaryota; Viridiplantae; Streptophyta; Magnoliopsida; Poales; Poaceae.